This 45-nucleotide transfer RNA is filed under the name Lontra felina (marine otter). Its description in RNAcentral is "partial tRNA-Pro". The record is from RNAcentral. Lineage: Eukaryota; Metazoa; Chordata; Mammalia; Carnivora; Mustelidae.
UCAGGGAAUAGUUUAGUUAGAAUGUCAGCUUGGGUGUUGGUGGUG